Molecule: long non-coding RNA, 594 nt
Organism: Astyanax mexicanus (Mexican tetra)
Lineage: Eukaryota; Metazoa; Chordata; Actinopteri; Characiformes; Acestrorhamphidae
Exons: 2
Source: RefSeq, a predicted model, not a curated record
AUUCUCAAAGCUUUCAUUUAAAACUAGCAUGUGCUGUGCGGUAUUCAGCAGUGCAGUAUUGUAAGUCUAAGGUGUAAAUCGUAAUAAAAUCAUGUAGUCUGAUCCGGGCAUUAAGGGUGCAACAGCAGUUACUGAGGCUGUGCAUGAUUUAAUGAACAAACAAAAUCAAACAAGAAGCUAACAUAUAAUUGAGGAAUUAAGGUGUGGACCGUAAUAAAUAAUUGUUGAUGUUGCUGAACUUUACUGCUCCUUCGCAUCACAACAGACUGGCAGGGUCACCUACAGGCUUGUAUAUUCCUUGGGAGUUCUUUUGGCCACACCACGCCUCUUUACGUAAUUACGUUACACGUACAGACUCUAAAAGAGGAUCCGGCUCAGUUUUACUGAACACGAGCAGCUGGUGGAGCAAUGGAGACUUCAGAAGAGGAAACUCAGGGCUCAUUCACUCAUAGUAAUAACAAAGAAACGAAGAAGUGAAGUUUCUCUCUCUCUCUCUCUCUCAUAUUAAUCCGCUCUGAAAGGAGACCGCAUCACACCCGCCUGGUUUAAAAUGCUUCUUUCGCUAUUACUCAUUCUCACCAGAGAGGGCCCUCA